Molecule: long non-coding RNA, 654 nt
Organism: Polistes dominula (European paper wasp)
Lineage: Eukaryota; Metazoa; Arthropoda; Insecta; Hymenoptera; Vespidae
Source: RefSeq, a predicted model, not a curated record
UUCCAGGAUGACGCAAUUCAACUUCGAUAGGGAAUAAGGAAUAAAAUCUAUAUGCAUGUACAGAUGAACAUGAACAAAGCUCGUUUUCGUGAGCACGUCUCUCUCGAUUGGCUUAAGAUACAAGUUCACAUAAAGAGAAAAGCACAAGUCGACGAGGUUGAGAGUCGUUGUUUUGAAAAAGAAACAUCACGGAAGAAAGAGAGAGAAAAAGAGAAGAGAAGAGGUGAGGUGGGAUAUGCAACAUAAGUUGCACCGAUUUUUCGAGGUCGAGUGAAAGACACGUGAAACGGAGUCAAAUAGAAAGAAAGAGAGAAAAAAUGGAAAUCUAGCUAACAAGAGAUAGGAAGAUGCGAGCUUAGUCAACAAAAAUCGGCUUUCCGUAUGUAUGACGUCAUCAGCAGAGGAGGAGAGUCGACUGGCGCCCGGUCGAUUUUUCAAUCCAAAAGAACGUAACUUCUCAGUAUCCUUGAAGCUAAUUACGACACGUAAAGAGAGUAAAGUAUGCAAUGAAUAUUGUGAAGAAGGAAAAAAAUAGAUGUCACAUAUUUAAGAAUUUAGAUCUACAACCUACUACUAUUACGUUUAAACGAAUCCUCUCUUAUCAAUCAAACUUGUAAUUAUAAUGCAAUAGUUAAACGCCGUCUUGAAUGAAAA